AGACUGUGAAGAUUUCUGUGAUAAGGUCUCGUUCGUCGUAAUUGGCCUAAUCGGCCUUGCCGACAAUCCUGCUAUAUCACCAUUUCCUUUGGUUGUCC
This 98-nucleotide small nucleolar RNA is filed under the name Phaseolus vulgaris (common bean). RNAcentral's name for it is "snoRNA snoZ43". It matches the Rfam family "Small nucleolar RNA Z43". From Rfam's summary of the family: Z43 is a member of the C/D class of snoRNA which contain the C (UGAUGA) and D (CUGA) box motifs. Lineage: Eukaryota; Viridiplantae; Streptophyta; Magnoliopsida; Fabales; Fabaceae. The record is from Rfam by way of RNAcentral.